AAUGCCACACUUCGGGAACAAUAUCCGGCUCUAUACAACAUUGUGCGUCAUAAGGGCGAUACUAUCGCCAUGGUAAUGGAAUCAUUUCUACCAAAUGUGACGUUCAGAACAGAUUUAAUUGGACCCAGACUCCAAUCGUGGUACAUCCUGCUCCAUCGGUUUUCCACGGUGCAAUUGUCACAUGGGUCUGAUGUAUUUCGAUGGAACCUACAUAAGAAUGGACAAUUCCCAGUGGAGUCUAUAUAUAGAGCGUGA
Molecule: ribosomal RNA, 255 nt
Filed under: Triticum aestivum (bread wheat)
Lineage: Eukaryota; Viridiplantae; Streptophyta; Magnoliopsida; Poales; Poaceae
Description: partial small subunit ribosomal RNA
Source: RNAcentral